CAGGUUGGUUGCUGUGCAGAGAAGAACAUUUAUCCCUCAACACCGUUAGUGCGUUUCAGGCUUGUGCAUUAGACCUGCUUGCGUUCCCAUUCCGCUUGAGGAUUCCCCAGUCUUCGUUAUCCUUGGUUGAAAUCGUCUGAAAUCUCGGUUAGACAACUUGAAACGCGAGAGUGCUGCAAGGCUCGGAAACUACGCAGUUGCCUAACACACGGGGAAGAACAGCAAUCAGUCUCUACAAACACUGUAUUCUCUCCACGAGAAAACUUGAGAAUAGGAGAACCAUGGGAUUGAGUGAAAGUAAGAUGGCUGACUGGUCAAGUGAAGUACAGGCGAUGGACUCGGGGCCACCAUGUCGUGCUGGAGAUGACAGAGCUCCACCAAAGGGAGUCACAGACAGCCAAUCCGAGGCGCGAGGUCAAACACCCCGAACUGAACCUCUUUGAGAUGCCUCCACGAUGCUGAUGUGAGACGCUGUCCAUGGUAAAAAACAACGUCAUUGCGUUGACAGCAUCAAACCUUUCGUAAAACAAACUGUUCACGAGUAUCAUAUAUAAUUUUAGCAGAAGUUCUGAAUGUUUCAAUAAAUAUCAUUCUGAAA
Molecule: long non-coding RNA, 598 nt
Organism: Haliotis rufescens (red abalone)
Lineage: Eukaryota; Metazoa; Mollusca; Gastropoda; Lepetellida; Haliotidae
Exons: 4
Source: RefSeq, a predicted model, not a curated record